RNAcentral lists this small nuclear RNA (143 nucleotides) under Otolemur garnettii (small-eared galago). RNAcentral's name for it is "U2 spliceosomal RNA". It matches the Rfam family "U2 spliceosomal RNA". Rfam says of the family: U2 is a small nuclear RNA (snRNA) component of the spliceosome (involved in pre-mRNA splicing). Complementary binding between U2 snRNA (in an area lying towards the 5' end but 3' to hairpin I) and the branchpoint sequence (BPS) of the intron results the bulging out of an unpaired adenosine, on the BPS, which initiates a nucleophilic attack at the intronic 5' splice site, thus starting the first of two transesterification reactions that mediate splicing. Lineage: Eukaryota; Metazoa; Chordata; Mammalia; Primates; Galagidae. The record is from Rfam by way of RNAcentral.
GUCACUUCUUAGCCUUUUGGCUAAGAUCAAGUGUAGUACAAAAAUGAAUACAGUCAUGUUUGAGCACCUCUUGUAAUUGCAGAAGUCACAUGUGACUGUUACAUAUGUAAGUUUUUUCUGUUUUUAAAAUGUGUGUACAUUUU